Molecule: ribosomal RNA, 253 nt
Filed under: uncultured bacterium
Lineage: Bacteria
Description: partial 16S ribosomal RNA
Rfam family: Bacterial small subunit ribosomal RNA
Source: RNAcentral
UACGAAGGGGGCUAGCGUUGCUCGGAUUGACUGGGCGUAAAGGGCGCGUAGGCGGAUAGUACAGACAGGUGUGAAAUCCCCGGGCUUAACCUGGGAACUGCGCUUGUUACUGGCAAGCUGGAGUGUGGCAGAGGGGGGUGGAAUUCCACGUGUAGCAGUGAAAUGCGUAGAUAUGCGGAGGAACACCGAUGGCGAAGGCAAUCCCCUGGGCCUGCACUGACGCUCGUGCACGAAAGCGUGGGGAGCAAACAGG